AUUGAACGCUAGCGGGAUGCCUUACACAUGCAAGUCGAACGGAGUGGCGAACGGGUGAGUAAUGUAUCUGACCGUGCCCAGUAGCGGGGGAUAACUACGCGAAAGCGUAGCUAAUUCCGCAUACUAUUGGAGCAGCCUAUAUCGGAUUAGCUAGUGGGUGGGGUAACGGCUCACCAAGGCUACGCUCCUUAGCUGGUUUGCGAGGACGACCAGCCACACUGGGACUGAGACACGGCCCAGACUCCUACGGGAGGCAGCAGUGGGGAAUGUUUGACAAGUGGGGAAACCCUGAUCCAGACAUCCCGCGUGUGCGAUGAGGUCCUUCGGGUUGUAAAGCACUUUUGGAAGGAAAGCGGUACCUGCAGAAUAAGCAACGGCUAACUACGUGCCAGCAGCCGCGGUAAUUC
This 407-nucleotide ribosomal RNA is filed under the name uncultured bacterium. RNAcentral's name for it is "partial 16S ribosomal RNA". It matches the Rfam family "Bacterial small subunit ribosomal RNA", at positions 30 to 526 of the family's 1533-position model. The record is from RNAcentral.